CUUGCUAAAACUAACAUGAAAACAGAGGAAUACUCCCAAAGAAUCAGGGUUAUUGUCCCAAAGCUUUUGAGGAGGAGGAGGUUUGAUUUCUCAAGGUUAUUUGUUUGGUUUCAUUUAUCAUUUUUCUUAUCAAUUACUGUUUUGGUUCCUUACUGAGCAAAACUCAAUUGGUUCUAUUUUUUCUUAACAAAUUAUUGCACCC
This 202-nucleotide long non-coding RNA is filed under the name Elaeis guineensis (African oil palm). RNAcentral's name for it is "long non-coding RNA (EGUI_LNC004667)". The record is from RNAcentral. Lineage: Eukaryota; Viridiplantae; Streptophyta; Magnoliopsida; Arecales; Arecaceae.